GGUAUACCGCCAUCUUGGAUUGUACAAUCACAGUAAAAAAUCGGUCUAGUUAUUUGUCUAAAUCUGCAAAUUUGGAAACAGAUUUUGCAAUUUAAAGGUUAGACUGUUUAAUAAUAUAAAGAAACUUGUAAUUUAUUGUAUAAUUCAAAAUAUUUAAACAAAUAUCAUUUUUUUUGCUUUUAGAAUCAUUUUUUUCAAAUGGGCC
RNAcentral lists this long non-coding RNA (205 nucleotides) under Mytilus galloprovincialis (Mediterranean mussel). Lineage: Eukaryota; Metazoa; Mollusca; Bivalvia; Mytilida; Mytilidae. The record is from RNAcentral.